GAUGAAGAACGUAGCGAAAUGCGAUAAGUAAUGUGAAUUGCAGAAUUCCGUGAAUCAUCGAAUCUUUGAACGCACAUUGCGCCCUCUGGUAUUCCGGGGGGCAUGCCUGUCCGAGCGUCAUUACAACCCUCAAGCUCAGCUUGGUGUUGGGCCCCGCCGCCCCGGCGGGCCCUAAAGUCAGUGGCGGUGCCGUCCGGCUCCGAGCGUAGUAAUUCUUCUCGCUCUGGAGGUCCGGUCGUGUGCUCGCCAGCAACCCCCAAUUUUUUUCAGGUUGACCUCGGAUCAGGUAGGGAUACCCGCUGAACUUAAGCAUAUCAAUAAGCGGAGGA
Molecule: unclassified non-coding RNA, 329 nt
Filed under: soil metagenome
Description: partial contains 5.8S ribosomal RNA, internal transcribed spacer 2, and large subunit ribosomal RNA
Rfam family: 5.8S ribosomal RNA (bases 1-120)
Source: RNAcentral